This 258-nucleotide unclassified non-coding RNA is filed under the name Hevea brasiliensis (rubber tree). The record is from RNAcentral. Lineage: Eukaryota; Viridiplantae; Streptophyta; Magnoliopsida; Malpighiales; Euphorbiaceae.
AACCAACCCUUGCACACAGUAACAACUGUGACCUUCCCUUCUUCUGCGCAUGUUCUCGGAGCUCCGGCUCCCUUAACGGAGCCCCAGCUCAUUGCCCAUCGAACAUCUCCAUAUUCCCGAUUAAAAGUGCUAACGAUCUCUCCAUUUCCUCUUUUUACUUUCUCAGAUCUUCAAUUUCAUUUUCCGUUUUUGUUUUAAGCAAUGUCAAAGGCGUGGGGCUCCAACGUCGACUGGGCCGCCGAUGUCGAGCGUGAGGAG